AUACGUAGGGGGCGAGCGUUGUCCGGAUUUACUGGGCGUAAAGGGUGAGUAGGCGGUUGUACGUGUCAGAUGUAAAAGGCUAUGGCUUAACUAUAGUUAGCAUAUGAAACUGUACGACUUGAGUGCAGGAGAGGUAAGCGGAAUUCCUAGUGUAGCGGUGAAAUGCGUAGAUAUUAGGAGGAACACCAGUGGCGAAGGCGGCUUACUGGACUGUAACUGACGCUGAAUCACGAAAGCGUGGGUAGCAAACAGGAUUAGAUACCCUGGUAGUCCACGCUGUAAACGAUGAGUGCUAGGUGUCGGGUAGCGAUAUUCGGUGCCGAAGUAAACACAAUAAGCACUCCGCCUGGGGAGUACGGUCGCAAGACUGAA
This 372-nucleotide ribosomal RNA is filed under the name uncultured bacterium. RNAcentral's name for it is "bacterial SSU rRNA". It matches the Rfam family "Bacterial small subunit ribosomal RNA", at positions 523 to 898 of the family's 1533-position model. The record is from RNAcentral.